UCAGACUGAGUUGCUUUUUGGUAGAUGUCUUCUUGAAGUUUGGAAUUUAAAACUUCUUGUGUCUUUUUCCAAUAAUCAAGUCUUUUGAACUUAAUCAUUAUUGGCGUCUCUGAUAUUUCACAGAGAUUAUAGAGAGAGAUGAGUUCAGAGGUAGAUUGUAUUAUCUAUCUUCCAACUUUGUAAAUAUGUUCUUUGAUAGGUUUCAAAGAACGUUCUUUUUCUACCAAGUGAUUGAUUAGACUGGUCAUAUGAUGGAAAAACUUCUUUUUAAGUUGGAAUAGAUGAGCAUCCCAUGCUUUAUAAAUUAUAGAACAUAUUUCCUGAGGAAGAUCAGAAUGGAAG
Molecule: long non-coding RNA, 342 nt
Filed under: Elaeis guineensis (African oil palm)
Lineage: Eukaryota; Viridiplantae; Streptophyta; Magnoliopsida; Arecales; Arecaceae
Description: long non-coding RNA (EGUI_LNC063640)
Source: RNAcentral